RNAcentral lists this ribosomal RNA (272 nucleotides) under Pseudo-nitzschia pungens. RNAcentral's name for it is "partial Bacterial large subunit ribosomal RNA". It matches the Rfam family "Bacterial large subunit ribosomal RNA", at positions 498 to 772 of the family's 2925-position model. The record is from RNAcentral. Lineage: Eukaryota; Bacillariophyta; Bacillariophyceae; Bacillariales; Bacillariaceae.
GUACCGUGAGGGAAAGGUGAAAAGCACCCCGACGAGGGGAGUGAAACAGUACCUGAAACCGAACGCCUACAAUCAGUUGGAGGGUCUUUACGGCCUGACAGCGUACCUUUUGUAUAAUGGGUCAACGACUUAUAUUUUGUAGCAAGGUUAACCGAAUAGGGGAGCCGUAGGGAAACCGAGUCUGAAUAGGGCGAAUCAGUCGCUAGGCAUAGACCCGAAACCGGGCGAUCUAUCCAUGAGCAGGUUGAAGGUUGAGUAACAUCAACUGGAGG